GGGUUGUGAGGUUAAGCGACUAAGCGUACACGGUGGAUGCCCUGGCAGUCAGAGGCGAUGAAGGGCGUGCUAAUCUGCGAUAAGCGCCGGUAAGGUGAUAUGAACCGUUAUAACCGGCGAUACCCGAAUGGGGAAACCCAGUGUGACUCGUCACACUAUCAUUAACUGAAUCCAUAGGUUAAUGAGGCGAACCGGGGGAACUGAAACAUCUAAGUACCCCGAGGAAAAGAAAUCAACCGAGAUUCCCCCAGUAGCGGCGAGCGAACGGGGAGGAGCCCAGAGCCUGAAUCAGCAUGUGUGUUAGUGGAAGCGUCUGGAAAGGCGCGCGAUACAGGGUGACAGCCCCGUACACAAAAGCGCAUGUGCUGUGAGCUCGAUGAGUAGGGCGGGACACGUGGUAUCCUGUCUGAAUAUGGGGGGACCAUCCUCCAAGGCUAAAUACUCCUGACUGACCGAUAGUGAACCAGUACCGUGAGGGAAAGGCGAAAAGAACCCCGGCGAGGGGAGUGAAAAAGAACCUGAAACCGUGUACGUACAAGCAGUGGGAGCACCCUUUGGGGUGUGACUGCGUACCUUUUGUAUAAUGGGUCAGCGACUUAUAUUCUGUAGCAAGGUUAACCGAAUAGGGGAGC
RNAcentral lists this ribosomal RNA (632 nucleotides) under Salmonella enterica. RNAcentral describes it as "partial 23S ribosomal RNA". It matches the Rfam family "Bacterial large subunit ribosomal RNA", at positions 1 to 666 of the family's 2925-position model. The record is from RNAcentral. Lineage: Bacteria; Pseudomonadati; Pseudomonadota; Gammaproteobacteria; Enterobacterales; Enterobacteriaceae.